UGGUGGUGGUGGUGGUGGAGAAGGGGAGAUGUGUUAUCUGUGGUGGUGGUGGAGGUGGAGGUGGAGGUGGAGAAGGGGAGGUGUUUUAUCUGUGGUGGUGGUGGUGGUGGUGGUGGUGGUGGAGAAGGGGAGAUGUGUUAUCUGUGGUGGUGGUGGUGGUGGAGAAGGGGAGAUGUGUUAUCUGUGGUGGUGGUGGUGGUAGUGGUGGUAGUGGUGGUAGUGGGGGUGGUAGUGGUGGUAGUGGUGGUGGUGGUGGUAGUGGGGGUGGUAAUGGUGGUACUGGUGGUGGUGGUGGUAGUGGGGGUGGUAGUG
Long non-coding RNA from Oncorhynchus tshawytscha (Chinook salmon), 312 nucleotides. Lineage: Eukaryota; Metazoa; Chordata; Actinopteri; Salmoniformes; Salmonidae. The record is from Ensembl.